Molecule: ribosomal RNA, 520 nt
Filed under: uncultured Glomus
Lineage: Eukaryota; Fungi; Glomeromycota; Glomeromycetes; Glomerales; Glomeraceae
Description: SSU rRNA
Rfam family: Eukaryotic small subunit ribosomal RNA
Source: RNAcentral
AGCAGCCGCGGUAAUUCCAGCUCCAAUAGCGUAUAUUAAAGUUGUUGCAGUUAAAAAGCUUGUAGUUGAAUUUCGGGGUCAAUACGUCGGUCGUGCCUCGGUACGCACUAACGUUAUUGAUCCCUCCCCUCUGACGAACCGUGAUGUCAUUAAUUUGGUGUUGCGGGGAAUCAGGACUGUUACCUUGAAAAAAUUAGAGUAGUUUAAAGCAGGCAAUCGCUCGAAUACAUUAGCAUGGAAUAAUGAAAUAGGACGUUCGAACCUAUUUUGUUGGUUUCUAGGAUCGACGUAAUGAUUAAUAGGGAUAGUUGGGGGCAUUAGUAUUCAAUUGUCAGAGGUGAAAUUCUUGGAUUUAUUGAAGACUAACUACUGCGAAAGCAAUUUGCUAAGGAUGUUUUCAUUAAUCAAGAACGAAAGUUAGGGAUCGAAGACGAUCAGAUACCGUCGUAGUCUUAACCAUAAAACUAUAGCCGAACUAGGGAUCGGAUGAUGUUAAUUUUUUAAUGUACUCUAUUCGGCG